UGCAGAUUGAGUUGGGUAGCUACGUUGGCUACUUUGUCUGGACCUGUCAUACAUUGUUUCAAAGCAAGAUUCAGGUUCAGAACGUGAUUGGAGGGACAGUUAGGAGUUGCAGGGACCUGUGAGGAGAAAUGAGUGAGAAUGAGUGGGAGAAUGGGAGACAAUGAGGAGAGCAGCUCUGACCAGCCCCUGGAAAUACCAGAGGAGAAUCCUACCCCAAGCACUAGUACUGCUCAGUGGACUGUGAGAUCAGCGAUAUUAGAUGGGACUUAUUUUGAAAUUGUGAAACAAACAGAAUCUGGGCAAGUUCAGGCUGAGUGCAAAUUAUGUACAAAGAAGAAAACCAUCAUAUCUGGUUCUGUUCAAGCCACUACAAAUUUCAAAACUCACCUGAAGAGGUUGCAUGCUGAGGUACUUCCAGAGUUUGAGCAACACAA
Long non-coding RNA from Eleginops maclovinus (Patagonian blennie), 434 nucleotides. RefSeq lists it as uncharacterized. NCBI's taxonomy places the organism in Eukaryota, Metazoa, Chordata, Actinopteri, Perciformes, Eleginopidae. The record is from RefSeq and is a predicted model, not a curated record. The transcript is spliced from 3 exons.